This 419-nucleotide ribosomal RNA is filed under the name uncultured bacterium. RNAcentral describes it as "bacterial SSU rRNA". It matches the Rfam family "Bacterial small subunit ribosomal RNA", at positions 358 to 774 of the family's 1533-position model. The record is from RNAcentral.
GGAAUAUUGGGCAAUGCCCGCAAGGGUGACCCAGCAAUGCCGCGUGGAGGCAGCAUGUCGUAAGAGUGUAAACUCCUGUUAGAGGGGAAGAAUAGUACCGGUUGGACCGGUAUAUGACUGUACCCUCAGAGAAAGCCUCGGCUAACUACGUGCCAGCAGCCGCGGUACUCCGUAGGGGGCAAGCGUUGACCGGAUUUACUGGGUGUAAAGGGCGCGCAGGCGGGAUAAAAAGUCAGUGGUGAAAUCCUACAGCUUAACUGUAGAACUGCCUUUGAUAUUUUUAUUCUUGAGUUCGGGAGAGAGAGACGGAAUUCCAGGUGUAGGGGUGAAAUACGUAGAUAUCUGGAAGCACUCCCGGUGCGAAGGCGGUCUCUUGGUCCGACACUGACGCUGAGGCGCGAAAGCGUGGGGAGCAAACA